UACGGGGGGGGGGCAAGCGUUGUUCGGAAUUACUGGGCGUAAAGGGCUCGUAGGUGGCCAACUAAGUCGGACGUGAAAUCCCUCGGCUUAACCGGGGAACUGCGUCCGAUACUGGUUGGCUUGAGUUUGGGAGAGGGAUGCGGAAUUCCCAGUGUAGCGGUGAAAUGCGUAGAUAUUGGGAGGAACACCAGUGGCGAAGGCGGCUCACUGGACCGGUACUGACGCUGAGGCGCGAAAGCGUGGGGAGCAAACAGG
This 255-nucleotide ribosomal RNA is filed under the name uncultured bacterium. Its description in RNAcentral is "partial 16S ribosomal RNA". It matches the Rfam family "Bacterial small subunit ribosomal RNA", at positions 522 to 776 of the family's 1533-position model. The record is from RNAcentral.